UACGAAGGGUGCAAGCGUUAAUCGGAAUUACUGGGCGUAAAGGGUGCGUAGGCGGUUUGUCGCGUCUGCUGUGAAAACUCGGGGCUUAACCCCGGGCCUGCAGUGGGUACGGGCAGACUAGAGUGCGGUAGGGGAGAACUGGAAUUCCUGGUGUAGCGGUGAAAUGCGCAGAUAUCAGGAGGAACACCGGUGGCGAAGGCGGGUCUCUGGGCCGUAACUGACGCUGAGGAGCGAAAGCGUGGGGGAGCGA
RNAcentral lists this ribosomal RNA (250 nucleotides) under uncultured bacterium. RNAcentral's name for it is "partial 16S ribosomal RNA". It matches the Rfam family "Bacterial small subunit ribosomal RNA", at positions 524 to 771 of the family's 1533-position model. The record is from RNAcentral.